This 505-nucleotide ribosomal RNA is filed under the name Cladosporium sp. ICE9-1C. Its description in RNAcentral is "eukaryotic LSU rRNA". The stretch from base 141 to 294 matches the Rfam family "5.8S ribosomal RNA". The record is from RNAcentral. Lineage: Eukaryota; Fungi; Ascomycota; Dothideomycetes; Cladosporiales; Cladosporiaceae.
UUCGGCCUGGUUAUUCAUAACCCUUUGUUGUCCGACUCUGUUGCCUCCGGGGCGACCCUGCCUUCGGGCGGGGGCUCCGGGUGGACACUUCAAACUCUUGCGUAACUUUGCAGUCUGAGUAAACUUAAUUAAUAAAUUAAAACUUUUAACAACGGAUCUCUUGGUUCUGGCAUCGAUGAAGAACGCAGCGAAAUGCGAUAAGUAAUGUGAAUUGCAGAAUUCAGUGAAUCAUCGAAUCUUUGAACGCACAUUGCGCCCCCUGGUAUUCCGGGGGGCAUGCCUGUUCGAGCGUCAUUUCACCACUCAAGCCUCGCUUGGUAUUGGGCAACGCGGUCCGCCGCGUGCCUCAAAUCGUCCGGCUGGGUCUUCUGUCCCCUAAGCGUUGUGGAAACUAUUCGCUAAAGGGUGUUCGGGAGGCUACGCCGUAAAACAACCCCAUUUCUAAGGUUGACCUCGGAUCAGGUAGGGAUACCCGCUGAACUUAAGCAUAUCAAUAAGCGGAGGA